GUCUAAGUACAAUCCGAAAGAAGGUGAAACCGCGAAUGGCUCAUUAAAUCAGUUAUGGUUCCUUGGAUCAUCGCCACAACUAUGGAUAACUGUGGCAAUUCUAGAGCUAAUACAUGCAAUUAUGUCCCGACCAGCAAUGGAAGGGAUGCUUUUAUUAGACCAAAACCAACCGGGCUGGCUCGUCUGGUCCGCUGACUUUGGUGACUCUGGAUAACUUGAUGCUGAUCGCAAAGGUCCUCGCACCUGCGACGUAUCUUUCAAAUGUCUGCCCUAUCAACUAGAUGGUGGGUUCUGGGCCCACCAUGGUUGUAACGGGUAACGGGGAAUCAGGGUUCGAUUCCGGAGAGGGAGCCUGAGAAAUGGCUACCACAUCCAAGGAAGGCAGCAGGCACGCAAAUUACCCACUCCUGGCACGGGGAGGUAGUGACGAAAAAUACUGAUGCGGGACUCGUUAGAGGCCCCGUAAUUGGAAUGAGAACACUAUAAACUCGUUAACGAGUAACUAUUGGAGGGCAAGUCUGGUGCCAGCAGCCGCGGUAAUACCAGCUCCAAUAGCGUAUACUAAAGUUGUUGCAGUUAAAAAGCUCGUAGCUGGACUUAGUCCCACACAGUCGGUUCACCGUUCGUCGGUGUUUAACUGGCGUGUUGUGCGGACGAGCCGCCGGUGGAUGCGGUUGGCUGUGGGCCUCGGGUCUGCAUGUCGGCGGUCCUUGUAAUCCUACUGCGGUGCUCUUGACCGAGUGCCGAGGUGGGCCGGCAAAUUUACUUUGAACAAAUUAGAGUGCUCAGACCAAGGCUCAGUGAAGCCUGCAUGUUGUGCGCAUGGAAUAAUGGAAUAGGACCUCGGUUCUAUUUUGUUGGUUUUCUGAAUUGAGGAAAUGAUUAAUAGGAACAGACGGAGGCAAUCGUAUUGCGACGUUAGAGGUGAAAUUCUUGGAUCGUUGCAAGACGAACUAAAGCGAAAGCAUUUGCCGAGGCUGUUUUCUUUAGUCAAGAACGAAAGUUAGAGGUUCGAAGGCGAUCAGAUACCGCCCUAGUUCUAACCAUAAACGAUGCCAGCCAGCGAUCCGCCGAAGUUGCUACAAUGACUCGGUGGGAUGCUUCCGGGAAACCAAAGCCUUUGGGCUCUGGGGGAAGUAUGGUUGCAAAGCUGAAACUUAAAGGAAUUGACGGAAGGGCACCACCAGGAGUGGAGCCUGCGGCUUAAUUUGACUCAACACGGGAAACCUCACCAGGCCCAGACACUGGAAUGAUUGACAGACCGAAGGAUCUUUCUUGAUUCGGUGGGUGGUGGUGCAUGGCCGUUCUUAGUUGGUGGAGUGAUUUGUCUGGUUAAUUCCGAUAACGAACGAGACUCUGACCUGCUAAGUAGUCGUUCCCGGUAUCCUGUGUGCUGCCGGCGACAAAAAAAAUCUUCUUAGAGGGACAGGCGGCUUUUAGCCGCAUGAGAUGGGGCAAUAACAGGUCUGUGAUGCCCUUAGAUGUUCUGGGCCGCACGCGCGCUACAUUGAGGAAAUGAGCGAGUGCUCCUGGCCCGAAAGGGCUGGGUAACCCGUUGAAAUUUGCUCUUGGAUGGGACUGGGGCUUGCAAUUGUUCCCCAAGAACGAGGAAUUCCCAGUAAUCGCGAGUCAUAAGCUCGCGGUGGACGAGUCCCUGCCCUUUGUACACACCGCCCGUCGCUACUACCGAUUGAGUGGUUGAGUAAGGUCUUUGGACUGGUGCACGACGGCUCCUUGCGAGCUGUUGAAGCUACCGGGAAGUCGACCGAACUUGGUCAUUUAGA
Molecule: ribosomal RNA, 1784 nt
Filed under: Xylica oedematosa
Lineage: Eukaryota; Metazoa; Arthropoda; Insecta; Phasmatodea; Bacillidae
Description: SSU rRNA
Rfam family: Eukaryotic small subunit ribosomal RNA
Source: RNAcentral